GAUGAAGAACGUAGUGAAAUGCGAUAAGUAGUGUGAAUUGCAGAAUUCCGUGAAUCAUUGAAUCUUUGAACGCACAUUGCGCCUCCUGGUAAUCCGUGAGGCAUGCCUGUCCGAGCGUCAGUAAAAAGCAACUCGGCCGCGGCUGGCGGUUGGUGAUGGAGGAAGAGCACGUCUCGUUGUCGGUCUCCCCUCCCAAAAUCAACGGCGGAAUGUCACUGGCACUCGGUGUUGUAGUAUUAUUCGCCGAUCACCCAUUGUUGUUCCUGCCGCCCAAACCCCCACAAUUCUCUUGAUUGACCUCGGAUCAGGUAGGGAUACCCGCUGAACUUAAGCAUAUCAAUAAGCGGAGGA
RNAcentral lists this unclassified non-coding RNA (351 nucleotides) under soil metagenome. RNAcentral describes it as "partial contains 5.8S ribosomal RNA, internal transcribed spacer 2, and large subunit ribosomal RNA". The stretch from base 1 to 120 matches the Rfam family "5.8S ribosomal RNA", at positions 35 to 154 of the family's 154-position model. The record is from RNAcentral.